UAGAGCGGCGGACGGGUGAGUAACACGUGGACAAUCUGCCCCCGGCCCGGGAUAGCCAGGGAAACCUGGAUUAAUACCGGAUGAGACGGGACCCGCGAAGGCGGGACCGGGAAGGCGCUGCGGCGCCGCCGGGGGAUGAGUCUGCGUCCAUUAGCUAGACGGCGGGUAACGGCCCACCGUGGCGACGAUGGGUAGCCGGCCUGAGAGGGUGGACGGCCACAUUGGAACUGAGACACGGUCCAGACUCCUACGGGAGGCAGCAGCUAAGAAUCUUCCGCAAUGGGCGAAAGCCUGACGGAGCCGACGCCGCGUGAACGAAGAAGGCCGUGAGGUUGUAAAGUUCUUUUCGGGAGGGGGAACAACCGUGGCAGGGAAUGGCCGCGGGAUGACGUGAAUCCCGGAAUAAGCCCCGGCUAACUACGUGCCAGCCGCCGC
RNAcentral lists this ribosomal RNA (435 nucleotides) under uncultured bacterium. Its description in RNAcentral is "bacterial SSU rRNA". It matches the Rfam family "Bacterial small subunit ribosomal RNA", at positions 91 to 518 of the family's 1533-position model. The record is from RNAcentral.